RNAcentral lists this ribosomal RNA (301 nucleotides) under uncultured bacterium. Its description in RNAcentral is "partial 16S ribosomal RNA". It matches the Rfam family "Bacterial small subunit ribosomal RNA", at positions 509 to 809 of the family's 1533-position model. The record is from RNAcentral.
CAGUCGCCGCGGUAAUACGUAGGGUCCGAGCGUUGUCCGGAAUUAUUGGGCGUAAAGGGCUCGUAGGCGGUUUGUCGCGUCGGGAGUGAAAACCAGCAGCUUAACUGCUGGCCUGCUUUCGAUACGGGCAGACUUGAGGCAUUCAGGGGAGAACGGAAUUCCUGGUGUAGCGGUGAAAUGCGCAGAUAUCAGGAGGAACACCGGUGGCGAAGGCGGUUCUCUGGGAAUGUUCUGACGCUGAGGAGCGAAAGUGUGGGGAGCGAACAGGAUUAGAUACCCCAGUAGUCCCUGUCUCUUAUAU